RNAcentral lists this transfer RNA (69 nucleotides) under Bos taurus (domestic cattle). It matches the Rfam family "tRNA". From Rfam's summary of the family: Transfer RNA (tRNA) molecules are approximately 80 nucleotides in length. Their secondary structure includes four short double-helical elements and three loops (D, anti-codon, and T loops). The record is from Rfam by way of RNAcentral. Lineage: Eukaryota; Metazoa; Chordata; Mammalia; Artiodactyla; Bovidae. RNAcentral also lists the same sequence under 4 other names.
CCUGGUGGCUCAGAGGUUAAAGCGUCUGCCUGUAAUGCGGGAGACCUGGGUUCAAUCCCUGGGUCAGGA